CAGUAGCCGCGGGAAUACAGAGGGUGCGAGCGUUAAUCGGAUUUACUGGGCGUAAAGCGUGCGUAGGCGGCUUUUUAAGUCGGAUGUGAAAUCCCUGAGCUUAACUUAGGAAUUGCAUUCGAUACUGGGAAGCUAGAGUAUGGGAGAGGAUGGUAGAAUUCCAGGUGUAGCGGUGAAAUGCGUAGAGAUCUGGAGGAAUACCGAUGGCGAAGGCAGCCAUCUGGCCUAAUACUGACGCUGAGGUACGAAAGCAUGGGGAGCAAACAGGAUUAGAGACCCCGGUAGUCCCUGUCUCUUAUAA
RNAcentral lists this ribosomal RNA (301 nucleotides) under uncultured bacterium. RNAcentral's name for it is "partial 16S ribosomal RNA". It matches the Rfam family "Bacterial small subunit ribosomal RNA", at positions 509 to 809 of the family's 1533-position model. The record is from RNAcentral.